GACGAACGCUGGCGGCGUGCUUAACACAUGCAAGUCGAACGGAAAGGCCCUGCUUUUGUGGGGUGCUCGAGUGGCGAACGGGUGAGUAACACGUGAGUAACCUGCCCUUGACUUUGGGAUAACUUCAGGAAACUGGGGCUAAUACCGGAUAGGAGCUCCUGCUGCAUGGUGGGGGUUGGAAGUUUCGGCGGUUGGGGAUGGACUCGCGGCUUAUCAGCUUGUUGGUGGGGUAGUGGCUUACCAAGGCUUUGACGGGUAGCCGGCCUGAGAGGGUGACCGGCCACAUUGGAACUGAGAUACGGCCCAGACUCCUACGGGAGGCAGCAGUGGGGAAUAUUGCACAAUGGGCGGAAGCCUGAUGCAGCAACGCCGCGUGCGGGAUGACGGCCUUCGGGUUGUAAACCGCUUUCGCCUGUGACGAAGCGUGAGUGACGGUAAUGGGUAAAGAAGCACCGGCUAACUACGUG
Molecule: ribosomal RNA, 467 nt
Filed under: uncultured bacterium
Lineage: Bacteria
Description: partial 16S ribosomal RNA
Rfam family: Bacterial small subunit ribosomal RNA
Source: RNAcentral